This 497-nucleotide ribosomal RNA is filed under the name uncultured bacterium. RNAcentral's name for it is "partial 16S ribosomal RNA". It matches the Rfam family "Bacterial small subunit ribosomal RNA", at positions 28 to 507 of the family's 1533-position model. The record is from RNAcentral.
GAUGAACGCUGGCGGCGUGCCUAAUACAUGCAAGUCGAGCGAACAGACGAGGAGCUUGCUCCUUCGACGUUAGCGGCGGACGGGUGAGUAACACGUAGGUAACCUACCUAUAAGACUGGGAUAACUUCGGGAAACCGGAGCUAAUACCGGAUAAUAUUUCGAACCGCAUGGUUCGAUAGUGAAAGAUGGCUUUGCUAUCACUUAUAGAUGGACCUGCGCCGUAUUAGCUAGUUGGUAAGGUAACGGCUUACCAAGGCAACGAUACGUAGCCGACCUGAGAGGGGGAUCGGCCACACUGGAACUGAGACACGGUCCAGACUCCUACGGGAGGCAGCAGUAGGGAAUCUUCCGCAAUGGGCGAAAGCCUGACGGAGCAACGCCGCGUGAGUGAUGAAGGUCUUCGGAUCGUAAAACUCUGUUAUUAGGGAAGAACAAACGUGUAAGUAACUGUGCACGUCUUGACGGUACCUAAUCAGAAGGCCACGGCUAACUACGUG